UACGUAGGGGCUAGCGUUAUCCGGAAUUACUGGGCGUAAAGGGUGCGUAGGUGGUUUCUUAAGUCAGAGGUGAAAGGCUACGGCUCAACUGUAGUAAGCCUUUGAAACUGGGAAACUUGAGUACAGGAGAGGAGAGUGGAAUUCCUAGUGUAGCGGUGAAAUGCGUAGAGAUAUGGAGGAACACCAGUGGCGAAGGCGGCUUCCUGGUCUGUAACUGACACUGAGGCGCGAAAGCGUGGGGAGCAAACAGGAUUAGAUACCCUGGUAGUCCCUGAG
RNAcentral lists this ribosomal RNA (276 nucleotides) under uncultured prokaryote. RNAcentral describes it as "partial 16S ribosomal RNA". It matches the Rfam family "Bacterial small subunit ribosomal RNA", at positions 524 to 801 of the family's 1533-position model. The record is from RNAcentral.